This 271-nucleotide small nuclear RNA is filed under the name Castor canadensis (American beaver). Its description in RNAcentral is "7SK RNA (ENSCCNG00000028219.1)". It matches the Rfam family "7SK RNA", at positions 1 to 279 of the family's 331-position model. Rfam says of the family: 7SK was discovered as an abundant small nuclear RNA in the mid-70s but a possible function has only recently been suggested. Two independent studies have found that 7SK RNA binds the CDK9/cyclin T complex (known as elongation factor P-TEFb). The record is from RNAcentral. Lineage: Eukaryota; Metazoa; Chordata; Mammalia; Rodentia; Castoridae.
GGAUGUGAGGGCAAUCUGUCUGCAACAUGUCACCCCAUUGAUCACCAGGGUUGCAGAUUCUGCUGAUAUGGCUGGCUAGGUGGGUGUCCCCUUCCUCCCUCACUGCUCCAUGUGUACCCUCCUGAAGCUGCGCACUCAGUCAAAGAGUAUGACCAUCCCUGAUAGAGGAGGACCAUUUUUUGGUCAAGGGUAUAUGAGUAGCUGCAUUCCCCUGCUAGAACCUCCAGAAAGCUCUCAAGUAUAUUUAAUUGAAUCACAGAAAAUUUUGUGU